GUCACAGAUUGCUCAGUGUUCAGUUGUGUAAUUACUGAGAGAAACUGGAGGGUGGGGGGGAGAGAAAGAGAAACAGCGUGAGGCAGAGAAGGAGUGAGACAGAAACAGAGAUGAGAGAGAAUAGCAAGAUACUAAAACAGGAGCUAGAUUUGUGGCAGAAAUAAACUGUUUAAUUCUGUGGAAAUUUGUAGAGAAAACUGAAAGGAAGCUGUCGAAAAGAAAUGUGUUAAACAAGCCCUGGGCACAUACAUUUCAAAGAAACAGAGAACCAACAAAAGUGAGAUGCAUCAAUCUCAGCAAAAUGAAUGGAGAGAAUGUUUAAUCUUAUAAAGUGAACAGGAGGUGCUCCGCAAAACGAAGGAAUCUUUGGUGUCUCUCUUCCUCUGAUUACUGGAAGUAAGGGGAAAUAAAACCCAAUGCCACACAGCUGCUUUAUCUUUUUCAAGUUCACGAGGAAGAGCAGACUAUCCUAGUAAGCAGUGGGUGCGUAAAGCAGAGAAAAAAAAGUGUGGAUGGGAUGCCAGUUCAUUACAUGCAGUUCAAAAACACCUAUGAGCAAGCUGGAAGAUUAUCAGUUCACUUACCAAAAUGCCUUCAUGAUGUCACAGGAAAGUAGACACCAGUGGAGAAUCUCAUGCAGACUGAAGUAGGGAGAGCAGACUCUGCACAGGAGGCACCCAAAAUGGAGAUUUAAGCAACAUGAGGCACCAGUACUAACUGCUGUCCCACUGUACUCCCCAUGAGCUACGAUGUAAUGUAAAGGAAACAAGCCCAGCUCUCUAAUAAGGAUACUAUCUAGUUUGUUUUUAUGUAUUUGUUUUGUUACACAAUAUUAGAUUUAUAUAUUAAUUUACAAUGUGUGUAUUAAAGUUUUUGUUUUACUGUAGACAAGGAAGCAAUUUAAUUGUUUUUACAUCAAUUAUAAAUCUGCGAUGCUAUCAAGAUACAGAAAUAAACUUUGAUAUCACUCAUUAAAUCAAUUAUAUUUAGUUAGAUUGAAAAAUAUGUAUUCAGAGGCAUAGGAGUCAGCCAACUACCUGUUAAGACUCAAAGAAUAAAUUGCAACAAACCAAAUGCAGUUUAUAGCAACAAUGACUAGAUCAGCUCGUGAUGUAUCGUGACAUUUUCACCCAUAAAUGUAUUAAUAUUGACCCAAGAACUAAGUCCCUACAAAGUACUCACGGUUUUGCAAUCUACAUUUAGUCAGUGGGGUAUCUUAAAACUGUAGCUCCAACUUCUCAAGACAACAAACUAAUCAUCAGAGGAAGUAUGAACUCUUGGUCUUAUGGAUGCAUGAAAAUAAGAAAUCACUCUUUAGCUCAGCCCUUCGGCAAAUGAUGCCAUGAAGUCAGUUAAAUGAUAUUUGUAGACCUGGCUGCCAUUCUGCUUGAAAUUUAUUCUCCUUCAGGAAAUGCCCUACUCUUUUCUUAUGGUAUUUCUCAUCAGUUUAUUUAGUAGUGAGGUACUCCAUGUAUAAAUGCAAAAUCCAAAGUUGUUUCCUCGAGUGCAGUGACGGCGUAGUGGCCUUCCUCCUAUGACUUAGGCACAGUGCUAUGGGGUUUUCUGUCAGAUUUAAGCUUACCUACAUUUAUUGGGUUUCUUCAUAGAGAUUUAUGUCUGUUUAAGGAAAUGCACAUUAUUUGAUUAUUUUGCAAAGAUUCCUUAUCCCUAAAUAUAUGAAGUGUAGUAUUUGACAACAUUCUAUUCUGAAAAAAAAUGCUCUUCUUUUUAAAGGGCGAUGCUCUGACUGUUGAUGUCUAGAGGUGAAUAGCUAGUGUUGUGACCCUUAAGGAACCAUGUCCCUUCUCUGAGUUUCUUAUAGAUAUAUACCAGCUAGUUCAGGCAUUUUACUCAUCUAAAAAGAUAUUCACCCAUUAAAUAACUGGCCAUUUAAGACAAUACUGUUUUUACUGUGGUUAUAGUCUUGCCGGUUUUCUAACUAUCGCUUUCCCUGAUCUUCACAAAGAGAAAGAGAUGUCACUUCACCAACAUUUUAGUAAAGCCUUUUGACCAUUGAACUGUACAGUUUGGCCCUGUGAUAGGAUAGGGGCUGUUGUGAUGAAUCUCAGUUUUUACUGUUUAACAAGGAGUUGUAGGAAGGGAAAAUUAGAUCAGCAUAUGUGUAUAAACUUCCAGAUAUAGACCUCAAAAUGGUCAAAGGAAUUAAAAGAGGAAUUAAAAAGAGGCGCAGGCAGAACUGUUUAAAUGCAAACAUUGAUGGGCUUCUUGAAACAAGCUAAUUUAUGUAACUCAGCAUUAUACUUGCCUUUAUUCUAGAACUCUGUUCUAAGUCAAAGAAAAAUUGAUAAAACACACCACACACACACAAACAGUAACAGCUUAACUCUAACAGGAAGUGCUAAAGUUUGUCUUUGAUCAGUGAAGACUGAGAAUAUCAGAAUCCUAGCUGUGUCAUUCAUUAUACUGCCAAGGUAAUCAAAAAGUAUGCAUGUGUGCAUGUCCUUGCAUGCAUGUGUAUCUGUGUGUG
This is an RNA transcript of Protopterus annectens (West African lungfish), 2488 nucleotides long. It is a transcript of the gene named ATP-sensitive inward rectifier potassium channel 12-like, with no coding region annotated. The transcript has 2 exons. Lineage: Eukaryota; Metazoa; Chordata; Ceratodontiformes; Protopteridae. The record is from RefSeq and is a predicted model, not a curated record.